UCCCUGCUAUCAGUAGUGUGAAUUGCAGAAUUCAGUGAAUCAUCGAAUCUUUGAACGCACAUUGCGCCCCUUGGUAUUCCAUGGGGCAUGCCUGUUCGAGCGUCAUUUGUACCCUCAAGCUCUGCUUGGUGUUGGGUGUUUGUCCCGUCUCCGCGCGUGGACUCGCCCCAAAGUGAUUGGCAGCCGGCGUACUGGUCCCGGAGCGCAGCACAUGUCGCGCAAACGAGUGCCUUGGUACGGCGGCGUCCAUAAGCCCCUCUCUCACGCUCUUGACCUCGGAUCAGGUAGGGAUACCCGCUGAACUUAAGC
This 309-nucleotide unclassified non-coding RNA is filed under the name plant metagenome. RNAcentral's name for it is "partial contains 5.8S ribosomal RNA, internal transcribed spacer 2, and large subunit ribosomal RNA". The stretch from base 1 to 105 matches the Rfam family "5.8S ribosomal RNA", at positions 50 to 154 of the family's 154-position model. The record is from RNAcentral.